AUGUUGUUUGAGCUACAAUUGAUGAGUGAUUCAUUGUUUCCGAUAGUAAUACCUGCAUAUUCCUUCUAUUUUCGCCUCAUCCAAUACUCACUAUUGCUUGCCCAAAUGUUUACCUGUUUAUUAUUACUUAUGAUUCUAUUAGUUUUUUUUUUAUACUGGACGUCUGGACCUAACUCAUUCUACAAAGCCGACUUGUAA
This is a non-coding RNA of Vicia faba (fava bean), 198 nucleotides long. The record is from the annotation of a GenBank genome assembly. NCBI's taxonomy places the organism in Eukaryota, Viridiplantae, Streptophyta, Magnoliopsida, Fabales, Fabaceae.